UGGAAGUAAAAGUCGUAACAAGGUUUCUGUAGGUGAACCUGUGGAAGGAUCAUUACU
This 57-nucleotide ribosomal RNA is filed under the name Heterodermia pellucida. RNAcentral's name for it is "partial 18S ribosomal RNA". It matches the Rfam family "Eukaryotic small subunit ribosomal RNA", at positions 1777 to 1831 of the family's 1831-position model. Lineage: Eukaryota; Fungi; Ascomycota; Lecanoromycetes; Caliciales; Physciaceae. The record is from RNAcentral.